Molecule: non-coding RNA, 30 nt
Filed under: Rattus norvegicus (Norway rat)
Lineage: Eukaryota; Metazoa; Chordata; Mammalia; Rodentia; Muridae
Source: RNAcentral
UGCCAGGAAUCUCCUUUUAGCUCCCCUAAU